This 691-nucleotide ribosomal RNA is filed under the name uncultured bacterium. Its description in RNAcentral is "bacterial SSU rRNA". It matches the Rfam family "Bacterial small subunit ribosomal RNA", at positions 24 to 763 of the family's 1533-position model. The record is from RNAcentral.
UCAGAACGAACGCUGGCGGCAGGCUUAACACAUGCAAGUCGAACGCCCCGCAAGGGGAGUGGCAGACGGGUGAGUAACGCGUGGGAAUCUACCUAUCUCUACGGAAUAACCCAGGGAAACUUGGACUAAUACCGUAUACGCCCUUCGGGGGAAAGAUUUAUCGGGGAUAGAUGAGCCCGCGUUGGAUUAGCUAGUUGGUGGGAUAAAGGCCUACCAAGGCGACGAUCCAUAGCUGGUCUGAGAGGAUGAUCAGCCACAUUGGGACUGAGACACGGCCCAAACUCCUACGGGAGGCAGCAGUGGGGAAUAUUGGACAAUGGGCGCAAGCCUGAUCCAGCCAUGCCGCGUGAGUGAUGAAGGCCCUAGGGUUGUAAAGCUCUUUCAACGGUGAAGAUAAUGACGGUAACCGUAGAAGAAGCCCCGGCUAACUUCGUGCCAGCAGCCGCGGUAAUACGAAGGGGGCUAGCGUUGUUCGGAAUUACUGGGCGUAAAGCGCACGUAGGCGGAUACUUAAGUUAGGGGUGAAAUCCCAGGGCUCAACCCUGGAACUGCCUUUAAUACUGGGUAUCUCGAGUUCGAGAGAGGUGAGUGGAAUUCCGAGUGUAGAGGUGAAAUUCGUAGAUAUUCGGAGGAACACCAGUGGCGAAGGCGGCUCACUGGCUCGAUACUGACGCUGAGGUGCAAAAGCGUG